AGGAACCAUCCGGUUAGGCCGCACCACCGCUCCAGCUCCUGCCCAGAUAUACCCGAGUACUGCGAUUCAAACUGGGCCAUCACUCAGACUGGAGCCAACCCUCAAACUCUAUGGGGAGCCCUCGUCGGUGGACCCGCACAGGACGGUAGCUACACGGAUGACAGGAACGAUUAUGUCAUGAACGAGGUUGCCUGUGAUUACAACGCGGCCUUCACCGCUGCCCUCGCCGCCCUGGUCUAGUCCGGAUAAGCGAGGAAGCCCGUCCGGAUAACUGAGGGACCUUCAUUCUCGCUUAUCCGAAUUUUAGAGAUGGCCCGGUUAACUGAGGGGGGUUUGUUUAGUAAUGAGAGAUGGUUCCGGAUAAUUGAGGGUCUUUUUUCGCUUAUCCGGACUAAUUAGAGAUGAUCCGGAUAACUGAGGGUCCUUUUUUCACUUAUCCGGAUUAAAGAGAACUGGUUCGGAUAACUGAGGGGCUUUCAUUCAUUUAUCCGGACUAAAAAGAGAUGAUCCGGAUAAAUGAAUGAGGGGUUGACGGUCUUUAUUCAGUUAUCCGGAUUAAAGACAAGAUCCGGAUAAAUGAAUGAGGGAUUGACGGUCUUUAUUCUGUUAUCCGGAUCAAAGACAAGAUCCGGAUAAAUGAAGGAAAGAAAGGGGGACGAUUUCUCAGUUAUCCGGAGCAGAGACAAGAUCCGGAUAAAUGAAUGAAGGAUUGACGGUCUUUAUUCAGCUAUCCGGAUUAAAGACAAGAUCCGGAUAAAUGAAGGAAAGAAAGAGGGACGAGUUCUCAAUUAUCCGGACUCAAGGCAAGACCCGGAUAAAUGAAGAUGGGAUUAAGGGUCGUUUCCCAGUUAACCGGACCAUAGACCUAGUCCGGAUAAAUGAAGGGGUGAUUGAGGGCCAUUUCUCAGUUAUCCGGACCAGUGAGAUCGCAUCCGGAUAAUCGAUAAAGAACUUGAACUUAUUAUGCGAUUACAAGACCAAUUAAUUCGAAAUGUUUGAACUAAGAAGAAAUAAAUACAAAAUAAAUACUAAUAA
Eriocheir sinensis (Chinese mitten crab) is the source of this 1035-nucleotide long non-coding RNA. RefSeq lists it as uncharacterized. The record is from RefSeq and is a predicted model, not a curated record. Lineage: Eukaryota; Metazoa; Arthropoda; Malacostraca; Decapoda; Varunidae. The transcript is spliced from 3 exons.